RNAcentral lists this ribosomal RNA (350 nucleotides) under uncultured bacterium. RNAcentral's name for it is "bacterial SSU rRNA". It matches the Rfam family "Bacterial small subunit ribosomal RNA", at positions 917 to 1269 of the family's 1533-position model. The record is from RNAcentral.
GGGCCCGCACAAGCGGUGGAGCAUGUGGUUUAAUUCGAUGAUACGCGAGGAACCUUACCAGGGCUUAAAUGUAAGUUGCAUAGAGUAGAGAUAUUCUUUUCUUCGGACUACUUACAAGGUGCUGCAUGGUUGUCGUCAGCUCGUGCCGUGAGGUGUCAGGUUAAGUCCUAUAACGAGCGCAACCCCUGUUGUUAGUUGCCAGCGAGUCAAGUCGGGAACUCUAACAAGACUGCCAGUGCAAACUGUGAGGAAGGUGGGGAUGACGUCAAAUCAUCACGGCCCUUAUGGGUAGGGCUACACACGUGCUACAAUGGAUGGUACAGAGAGUUGCGAAGCGGUGACGUGGAGCU